UACGAAGGGGGCGAGCGUUGUUCGGAUUUACUGGGCGUAAAGGGCGCGCAGGCGGCGAUUUUUGUCAGGCGUGAAAGCCCCGGGCUUAACCUGGGAACUGCGCUUGAGACGGGAUUGCUAGAGAUCGGGAGAGGAGAGUGGAAUUCCCAGUGUAGAGGUGAAAUUCGUAGAUAUUGGGAAGAACACCGGUGGCGAAGGCGGCUCUCUGGACCGAUACUGACGCUGAGGCGCGAAAGCGUCGGGAGCAAACAGGAUUAGAAACCCCCGUAGUCC
This 273-nucleotide ribosomal RNA is filed under the name uncultured bacterium. Its description in RNAcentral is "partial 16S ribosomal RNA". It matches the Rfam family "Bacterial small subunit ribosomal RNA", at positions 524 to 796 of the family's 1533-position model. The record is from RNAcentral.